GAUGAACGCUGGCGGCAUGCCUAGCACAUGCAAGUCGAUCGGUAAGGCUCUUCGGGGUACACGAGAGGCGGACGGCUGAGUAACGCGUAGGAACACACCCUGCAGUGAGGGAUAAGACACCGAAAGGUGUUCUAAUACCGCAUACGGUCUUCGGAUUAAAGCAUUUAUGCGCUGAAGGAGUGGCCUGCGUCAUAUUAGAUAGUUGGUGAGGUAAUGGCUCACCAAGUCGAUGAUGUGUAGCUGGUCUGAGAGGAUGAUCAGCCAGACUGGAACUGAGACACGGUCCAGACUCCUACGGGAGGCAGCAGUGAGGAAUAUUUCACAAUGAGCGAAAGCUUGAUGGAGCAAUGCCGCGUGCAGGAUGAAGGCCCUCGGGUUGUAAACUGCUUUUAUAAGAGAAGAUUAUGACGGUAACUUAUGAAUAAGGGACGGCUAACUACGUG
RNAcentral lists this ribosomal RNA (443 nucleotides) under uncultured bacterium. RNAcentral's name for it is "partial 16S ribosomal RNA". It matches the Rfam family "Bacterial small subunit ribosomal RNA", at positions 28 to 507 of the family's 1533-position model. The record is from RNAcentral.